UUGCCUCAGUAACGGCGAGUGAAGCGGCAACAGCUCAAAUUUGAAAUCUGGCUCUCGGGCCCGAGUUGUAAUUUGCAGAGGAUGUUUCUGGCGAGGUGCCUUCCGAGUUCCCUGGAACGGGACGCCAUAGAGGGUGAGAGCCCCGUCCGGUUGGUCGCUAAGCCUCUGUGAAACUCCUUCGACGAGUCGAGUAGUUUGGGAAUGCUGCUCUAAAUGGGAGGUAUACGUCUUCUAAAGCUAAAUACCGGCCAGAGACCGAUAGCGCACAAGUAGAGUGAUCGAAAGAUGAAAAGCACUUUGAAAAGAGGGUUAAAUAGUACGUGAAAUUGUUGAAAGGGAAGCGUUUAUGACCAGACUUGGGCCGGUUGAUCAUCCAUCGUUCUCGGUGGUGCACUCUGCCGGCUCAGGCCAGCAUCAGUUUGGUUUGGGGGAUAAAGGUUUCGGGAAUGUGGCUCCCUCGGGAGUGUUAUAGCCCGUUGCGUAAUACCCUGGACUAGACUGAGGUUCGCGCUCCGCAAGGAUGCUGGCGUAAUGGUCAUCAGCGACCCGUCUUGAAACACGGACCAAGGAGUCGUCUUCGUAUGCGAGUGUUCGGGUGUCAAACCCCUACGCGUAAUGAAAGUGAACGUAGGAGAGAGCUUCGGCGCAUCUCCGACCGAUCCUGAUGUUCUCGGAUGGAUUUGAGUAAGAGCAUACGGGGCCGGACCCGAAAGAAGGUGAACUAUGCCUGUAUAGGGUGAAGCCAGAGGAAACUCUGGUGGAGGCUCGCAGCGGUUCUGACGUGCAAAUCGAUCGUCAAAUAUGGGCAUGGGGGGCGAAAGACUAAUCGAACCUUCUAGUAGCUGGUUUCGCCGAG
Molecule: ribosomal RNA, 856 nt
Filed under: Lasionectria bisepta
Lineage: Eukaryota; Fungi; Ascomycota; Sordariomycetes; Hypocreales; Nectriaceae
Description: LSU rRNA
Rfam family: Eukaryotic large subunit ribosomal RNA
Source: RNAcentral